RNAcentral lists this ribosomal RNA (256 nucleotides) under uncultured bacterium. RNAcentral's name for it is "partial 16S ribosomal RNA". It matches the Rfam family "Bacterial small subunit ribosomal RNA", at positions 524 to 776 of the family's 1533-position model. The record is from RNAcentral.
UACGAAGGGGGCUAGCGUUGUUCGGAAUUACUGGGCGUAAAGCGCACGUAGGCGGAUAUUUAAGUCAGGGGUGAAAUCCCAGAGCUCAACUCUGGAACUGCCUUUGAUACUGGGUAUCUUGAGUAUGGAAGAGGUAAGUGGAAUUGCGAGUGUAGAGGUGAAAUUCGUAGAUAUUCGCAGGAACACCGGUGGCGAAGGCGGCCUUAGCUGGACAGUGACGUGACGCUGAGACGCGAAAGCGUGGGGAGCAAACAGG